RNAcentral lists this long non-coding RNA (330 nucleotides) under Bos taurus (domestic cattle). RNAcentral describes it as "long non-coding RNA NONBTAT026915". The record is from RNAcentral. Lineage: Eukaryota; Metazoa; Chordata; Mammalia; Artiodactyla; Bovidae.
CAUUGUUUAAUUCUUUCUGACUGAACAUUUCUGGGAGCUUAUUCUGUUUUUUGAGUGUGUACUAAAGGGUUUUAUACAGUGGCCAGGUAAAUAUUCCACAAUGAUUUAAAGAAAAGAGGACUCAACAUAUCAUUAAGUAUGUUUAAAGUACCCAAAUGGUCAGACCUUUUAAUAUAUGUGGGGAUACAGGGGCCCAGUCUUGGGUACUGAGAGGUAUGUGGGAUAUGUAUCUUCUGACUACAAUUUUCCUUACCUAGCUUAUUGUUACUCAGGAAUUGUUCACAUUCCCUAACCUCAGUUAACUGUGCCCCAGAAAAUUAUUGCACAUGU